AUUGAACGCUGGCAGCAUGCCUUACACAUGCAAGUCGAACGGCAGCACGGGAGCAAUCCUGGUGGCGAGUGGCGAACGGGUGAGUAAUAUAUCGGAACGUGCCCAGUCGUGGGGGAUAACGUAGCGAAAGCUACGCUAAUACCGCAUGCGAUCUAUGGAUGAAAGCGGGGGAUCGCAAGACCUCGCGCGAUUGGAGCGGCCGAUAUCAGAUUAGGUAGUUGGUGAGGUAAAGGCUCACCAAGCCGACGAUCUGUAGCUGGUCUGAGAGGACGACCAGCCACACUGGGACUGAGACACGGCCCAGACUCCUACGGGAGGCAGCAGUGGGGAAUUUUGGACAAUGGGCGCAAGCCUGAUCCAGCAAUGCCGCGUGCAGGAUGAAGGCCUUCGGGUUGUAAACUGCUUUUGUACGGAACGAAACGGUGAGCUCUAAUACAGUUUGCUAAUGACGGUACCGUAAGAAUAAGCACCGGCUAACUACGUGCCAGCAGCCGCCGUAA
RNAcentral lists this ribosomal RNA (500 nucleotides) under uncultured bacterium. Its description in RNAcentral is "partial 16S ribosomal RNA". It matches the Rfam family "Bacterial small subunit ribosomal RNA", at positions 30 to 523 of the family's 1533-position model. The record is from RNAcentral.